This 254-nucleotide ribosomal RNA is filed under the name uncultured bacterium. RNAcentral describes it as "partial 16S ribosomal RNA". It matches the Rfam family "Bacterial small subunit ribosomal RNA", at positions 524 to 776 of the family's 1533-position model. The record is from RNAcentral.
UACGUAUGGUGCAAGCGUUGUUCGGAAUGACUGGGCGUAAAGGGUGCGUAGGCGGUGUAGCAAGUUAGAAGUGAAAUACCUAGAGCUUAACUCAGGUGCUGCUUCUAAAACUGCUAUACUUGAGUGCAGUAGAGGAAAGUGGAAUUCCUAGUGUAGCGGUGGAAUGCGUAGAUAUUAGGAGGAACAUCAGUGGCGAAGGCGACUUUCUGGACUGUAACUGACGCUGAGGCACGAAAGUGUGGGGAGCAAACAGG